Molecule: ribosomal RNA, 866 nt
Filed under: Exserohilum rostratum
Lineage: Eukaryota; Fungi; Ascomycota; Dothideomycetes; Pleosporales; Pleosporaceae
Description: LSU rRNA
Rfam family: Eukaryotic large subunit ribosomal RNA
Source: RNAcentral
AGCAUAUCAUAGCGGAGGAAAAGAAACCCAUCAGGGAUUGCCCUAGUAACGGCGAGUGAAGCGGCAACAGCUCAAAUUUGAAAUCUGGCUCUUUCAGAGUCCGAGUUGUAAUUUGCAGAGGGCGCUUUGGCUUUGGCAGCGGUCCAAGUUCCUUGGAACAGGACGUCACAGAGGGUGAGAAUCCCGUACGUGGUCGCUAGCUAUUGCCGUGUAAAGCCCCUUCGACGAGUCGAGUUGUUUGGGAAUGCAGCUCUAAAUGGGAGGUAAAUUUCUUCUAAAGCUAAAUAUUGGCCAGAGACCGAUAGCGCACAAGUAGAGUGAUCGAAAGAUGAAAAGCACUUUGGAAAGAGAGUCAAACAGCACGUGAAAUUGUUGAAAGGGAAGCGCUUGCAGCCAGACUUGCUUGCAGUUGCUCAUCCGGGCUUUUGCCCGGUGCACUCUUCUGCAGGCAGGCCAGCAUCAGUUUGGGCGGUGGGAUAAAGGUCUCUGUCAUGUACCUCUCUUCGGGGAGGCCUUAUAGGGGAGGCGACAUACCACCAGCCUAGACUGAGGUCCGCGCAUCUGCUAGGAUGCUGGCGUAAUGGCUGUAAGCGGCCCGUCUUGAAACACGGACCAAGGAGUCUAACAUCUAUGCGAGUGUUUGGGUGUCAAGCCCGAGCGCGUAAUGAAAGUGAACGGAGGUGGGAACCCGCAAGGGUGCACCAUCGACCGAUCCUGAAGUUUACGGAAGGAUUUGAGUAAGAGCAUGGCUGUUGGGACCCGAAAGAUGGUGAACUAUGCUUGAAUAGGGUGAAGCCAGAGGAAACUCUGGUGGAGGCUCGCAGCGGUUCUGACGUGCAAAUCGAUCGUCAAAUUUGGGCAUAGGG